AUUGAACGCUGGCGGCAGGCCUAACACAUGCAAGUCGAGCGCGCGGCGGACGGGUGUGUAAUGUCUGGGAAACUGCCCGAUGGAGGGGGAUAACUCUUGGAAACGGUAGCUAAUAUCGCAUACCAUCAGAUGUGCCCAGGUGGGAUUUGCUAGUAGGUGGGGUAACGGGUCACCUAGGCGACGAUCCCUAGCUGGUCUGAGAGGAUGACCAGCCACACUGGAACUGAGACACGGUCCAGACUCCUACGGGAGGCAGCAGUGGGGAAUAUUGCACAAUGGGCGCAAGCCUGAUGCAGCCAUGCCGCGUGUAUGAAGAAGGCCUUCGGGUUGUAAAGCACUUUCAGCGGGGAGGCGUUACCCGCAGAAGAAGCACCGGCUAACUCCGUGCCAGCAGCCGCGGUAAUAC
Molecule: ribosomal RNA, 406 nt
Filed under: uncultured bacterium
Lineage: Bacteria
Description: partial 16S ribosomal RNA
Rfam family: Bacterial small subunit ribosomal RNA
Source: RNAcentral